CCUACGGUGUGCAGCAGUCGGGAAUAUUGCGCAAUGGAGGAAACUCUGACGCAGUGACGCCGCGUGCAGGAAGAAGGUUUUCGGAUUGUAAACUGCUUUAGACAGGGAAGAAAAAAGACAGUACCUGUAGAAUAAGCUCCGGCUAACUACGGUCCAGCAGCCGCGGUAAUACGUAGGGAGCAAGCGUUAUCCGGAUUUAUUGGGUGUAAAGGGAGCGCAGGCGGGAAGCCAAGUCAGCUGUGAAAACUACGGGCUUAACUUGUAGAAUGCAGUUGAAACUGGUUUUCUUGAGUGAAGUAGAGGUUGGCGGAAUUCCGAGUGUAGCGGGGAAAUGCGUAGAUAUUCGGAGGAACACCGGUGGCGAAGGCGGCCAACUGGGCUUUAACUGACGCUGAGGCUCGAAAGUGUGGGGAGCAAACAGGAUUAGAUACCCUAGUAGUC
Molecule: ribosomal RNA, 441 nt
Filed under: uncultured bacterium
Lineage: Bacteria
Description: partial 16S ribosomal RNA
Rfam family: Bacterial small subunit ribosomal RNA
Source: RNAcentral